CCAUAAAUCUGGCCGAAUCCCUGACAAUGUACAGGGUACGGGGGAAAAAUUUAAGCGGGGUGAAUCUGCUGCCUGUCCAAGUGAGGUGAAUUCGUCAAGGCGCGGUAGGGUGUCUCCCAUCCGAACCCAUCAACUAACUUCGGAGGCCAUACGGGAGGACUG
This 162-nucleotide small RNA is filed under the name Peptococcaceae bacterium. Its description in RNAcentral is "c-di-AMP sequence". It matches the Rfam family "c-di-AMP riboswitch aptamer (ydaO/yuaA leader)". Rfam says of the family: This family represents a conserved RNA structure found upstream of the ydaO and yuaA genes in Bacillus subtilis and related genes in other bacteria. Lineage: Bacteria; Bacillati; Bacillota; Clostridia; Eubacteriales; Peptococcaceae. The record is from RNAcentral.